This 326-nucleotide ribosomal RNA is filed under the name uncultured eukaryote. Its description in RNAcentral is "partial 18S ribosomal RNA". It matches the Rfam family "Eukaryotic small subunit ribosomal RNA", at positions 1470 to 1796 of the family's 1831-position model. The record is from RNAcentral.
CCCUUAGAUGUUCUGGGCUGCACGCGCGCUACACUGAUGCGUUCAACAAGUUGGACCUCGUCCGAGAGGAAAUCGGGGGAAUCUUUUGAAAACGUAUCGUGAUAGGGAUAGAUUAUUGUAAUUAUUAAUCUUCAACGAGGAAUUCCUAGUAAGCAUGAGUCAUCAGCUCGUGCUGAUUACGUCCCUGCCCUUUGUACACACCGCCCGUCGCUCCUACCGAUUGGGUGAUCCGGUGAAUUAACCAGAUUGUGGCGAGGGUAGUUUUCUGCUAUUGCUACGAAAAGGUUUGUGAACCUUAUCACUUAGAGGAAGGAGAAGUCGUAACA